AUAAAGAUGUUAAAGGAGUUCCAAUGGUCCCAUCUUGCUCAACUGCUUUCCAAAUACGUGGGGAGCUGUUAAAGUUCAGGACCAGAACUUAAUUCCCAAAUAGCCCAAUUUCUGGUCCACCAGAUUCUUCAAUAAUUCAUGAGGUGAGGUCCUGGUCCCAUGUGUCUUUUAUCUUUUAGCUUGAUCAUGGAAUAUGUUUAGGGUUCUGUUAGGUCUCUUUAGUUGUCCCAAGAGGUUCAACAAUCAACACCCAUGGGGAGGGGGGCCUCUUUUGAUAAGAAUAGCCGUGUCUUGCUACUCUGAUAAGAGCGCUGGUUCCUAGGUUUCACAGGUUCUGCCAUUUAUUUUCUUUGUCGAUUCCUACUUUUAUCUAUAUAUUCUGGUACUCCAUGUGAAGGCCAGGGCAGUUUGACGGGCCAAGGUUUCUCCUAAGGUUAUGUGCUUCGAAAGCUUGCCAUGAUAGUUUCCCCACUAGUUUGAAGCUCACAGAGAAAGGAGUUCAGGUGUCUCCAAUUUGCUUUUUGUGUUGCAUGUUCACUCUUUUUACCUCAUCUAUCGAUUCUAAUUCUGCCUUGCCGAUCAGGCAUGACUCAAGUGGCCCUCGAUCUACGAUAGCGUCAAUUGUGAUAGAUAUCAGCACGAAUAGCUCUAGGAUUCGGAUUGCGGAUUGCCAACUAGAAGAGGCAAAUAACUCUUAAUUGGAUUGCAGAGAAGAGGCGAUUCAUCAUUCAUUCAACAUCACCCUACUAGUUCUACAACCAAGGUUGGUAGGACUGUAGUUGUUUCUGGUUUCUGCAGCCCAAGUGGCUGACCCGAAGGCCCAAACCAGCAAGGCCUGCCCAGCAGAGCAGAUGCAACCAUGUCAGUGACCCACUAAAUUCAAGGCCCAAAAGCACCUUGCCUAGCCUAGAAGGCUGCUAAUGGGCUGACCGCACGGACUACCCAGAAGGCCCAACAACCCUAUAACACACUCUGGGUCCCUCGCUAUCUAGGACCAUGCCAACAACCCAAGUCCAUCUAAGCAGAGCCAGAAGCUCAGGCCCAAGAUGCAUCGGCCAAGCCGCUGACUAUGCCAGCAGUUAAAUGGGCCGAGCAAGGAGCUCGAAGGCCCAAUUCAAGCCCAGCAGGCCCACUAUCUCUAUGGUCUUUCGCGAGUUAUCAAGUGGUCGAGCCCAGUCCACCUUCUAGACCACAUCAAAUAAAAGGCAAAAAUGACUUUGCUAUCUGUGAGAUUCGAACCCAGGCAUAAGCUGUGUGAGACGAACCACAUCCCCACUGCGCUAAUGUUGCACAUUGAAACACGUUAUCAACACUCUAACCAUAUUUUAUAUAUAUUCUGCCAGAAGCAUUCAUUCUAAUUGCAAGAUUUUGUGACAUUUAAAUUAUGAAUUCUUUUUGUGCA
Molecule: long non-coding RNA, 1402 nt
Organism: Rosa rugosa (rugosa rose)
Lineage: Eukaryota; Viridiplantae; Streptophyta; Magnoliopsida; Rosales; Rosaceae
Exons: 4
Source: RefSeq, a predicted model, not a curated record